AUUGAACGCUGGCGGCAGGCCUAACACAUGCAAGUCGAACGAGUAGCGGACGGGUGAGUAAUGUCUGGGAAACUGCCUGAUGGAGGGGGAUAACUACUGGAAACGGUAGCUAAUACCGCAUACCAUCAGAUGUGCCGAGAUGGGAUGAGCUAGUAGGUGGGGUAAUUGCUCACCUAGGCGACGAUCCCUAGCUGGUCUGAGAGGAUGACAAGCCACACUGGAACUGAGACACGGUCCAGACUCCAACGGGAGGCAGCAGUGGGGAAUAUUGCACAAUGGGCGCAAGCAUGAUGCAGCCAUGCCGAGUGUGUGAAGAAGGCCUUCGGGUUGUAAAGCACUUUCAGCGAGGAGGCGUUACUCGCAGAAGAAGCACCGGCUAACUCCGUGCCAGCCGCCGCGGUAAUUC
RNAcentral lists this ribosomal RNA (406 nucleotides) under uncultured bacterium. RNAcentral describes it as "partial 16S ribosomal RNA". It matches the Rfam family "Bacterial small subunit ribosomal RNA", at positions 30 to 526 of the family's 1533-position model. The record is from RNAcentral.